Long non-coding RNA from Dromaius novaehollandiae (emu), 1642 nucleotides. RefSeq lists it as uncharacterized. NCBI's taxonomy places the organism in Eukaryota, Metazoa, Chordata, Aves, Casuariiformes, Dromaiidae. The record is from RefSeq and is a predicted model, not a curated record. The transcript has 3 exons.
CACUGGAAGUAAAACGCGAGUUUAUCGCUUCCUUACAGAGAUGGAACCAAGGACAGCAAAUGCUGACGAGGAGAAGAGACGGACGAGCGUUUGCUUGCGGUUAAUACCGAAGGGACGGGAUGAAACAAGGAAGCCAGAAUGCAGCGGCCCCUCGAUAUCACCAGGAACUGCUACAGGAGGAGGCGUUCUGGCACGGGUAACUAGGAUUAAUUGCCACGGCUGAAGUUGAAGAGACCAAGAAACGUAAGCCGCGAAGGGGCACAUCUUGAAGAGAGGGGGCUAGACCUAGCGAUCCAGUUGUUCGUUUUGGUCGUCGCCUGUGAGGCCAGCAUGCAAGAGUAAGAGGAAGCUAGGAGCAGUCUCAAAAAGAGAUGGAACCAAGGACAGCAAAUGCUGACGAGGAGAAGAGACGGACGAGCGUUUGCUUGCGGUUAAUACCGAAGGGACGGGAUGAAACAAGGAAGCCAGAAUGCAGCGGCCCCUCGAUAUCACCAGGAACUGCUACAGGAGGAGGCGUUCUGGCACGGGUAACUAGGGUAAGUAUGGCUAAUGACCGUUAGCAGUUAUUUCGGCCUCCCCGAGGCAGCGCUGAGGACUAAGUAACCUGAGGGGCUCUGGCCUGGGUUGGGGCAGAAGUGCAGGCAGGCGGGAUCAGGCAUUUUCCUCUCAGCUCUCCGAGCUGAAUCCUAGCCCUGAAGGAAAAAGCACUGGGGGGAGGCUACUCGGACACCUGCCAUGUCGAGGGCAGGGGCAGGAGCUGACCCUUCCCCGACGGACGGACGUACGGACAGACGCUGGUGCGGCGGUGACUCUUUGGAUAUCGUAGGUAAGGGGAGGCACGCUGGUGCCGAGCUCCAGGGCGGUUUGCCUGAACACGAUGCCUGAGGCAGGAGGUUAUGCAUUGUGUCCGGGGCUGGGAGCUGGUCCCCGAGUCCCAUGUACUUGGGAGUGCCUGCACUUGCCAGGGAGCCCGGUGCUGUUCCCAGAGCUGCGGGGAAUUUCCCUUGCGUUGCCUGGACCCUCGGGGCUCUUGGGGGUGUUUCCCCUCAUCGCGAGGGCUGCCAGAGCCCCUCCAGGGCUGCGUGAGGUCCCCGAACCGCUCCCGGAUUUGCUUUUGGCACUCCGCAGUGUCGCUCGUGUGCCUGGGGCAGCCUGCAGGCGCCAUCCUGUCAGCCGCGUUGAGCCCUGCGGCGUGCCUGGUGACCCCUCUGGUGUGCGCCAAGGCCCUUCCUCUGUAUUUUGGUCUGCCCCAGAGCCCUGCACUUGCCCUCUGAUGCCCUCAGGACCCCUCAGUUCACAUUCUGGGUUGCCCCCGAGCCCUCUGCGUGCCUUUCGGUGCGCCCCGUGGCCCCGUGUGUGUUUUGCGGCACGCCGCAGAGGUCUCUGUUUAGCUUUUUCUCCUGUCCUGGAGUUUUCUGGGUGCUUCUGGGUGUGCCCCAGGGCCCUCCUUUUGGUGCCCCCCGAGUCACUCUGUUUGCUCUAUCGUUGUUCUUUUUUUUUUUUUUUUUUUUUUUCUUGACUUGUGUUGCACCCAGAGCUCUCGAUUUGUUCUCUUGUGCUCCGCAUACUCCCCUUUCCGCACUCUACACCCCAGGCAGGGCUCUCCCUUCAGCUCUCAGCAAGCUGCUGUCAGGAGAGUGGG